This 274-nucleotide long non-coding RNA is filed under the name Bos taurus (domestic cattle). Its description in RNAcentral is "long non-coding RNA NONBTAT012609". The record is from RNAcentral. Lineage: Eukaryota; Metazoa; Chordata; Mammalia; Artiodactyla; Bovidae.
CAGGGGAAAGUGCCCAGGGAUAACUGUGUGUGCACUCGUGUGUCUGUGUGUUUCUAUAGUUAUGUGUGUAUAUCUAUAGUUCAGUAGCUAGACUUAAGCUGUGUAUAACAUCUGGACCUAUUUCCUGGAUAACAUCUGGAAAUAUUAAGAUGUUUCUUGGACAACUUUGGACUAUUUUAGAUUGAUUUCCAAAUUAAGAAUGGGAAAAGUAAUUUUUAACAGUUUGGGAAAUUCCUAAAGGUGUCAGCCCGUCUUGGUGAUGGUUUGGUUGGAG